UUNUGGGCCGCACGCGCGCUACACUGACGGAGCCAGCGAGUACUUCNUUGUCCGAAAGGUCCGGGUAAUCUUGUUAAACUCCGUCGUGCUGGGGAUAGAGCAUUGCAAUUAUUGCUCUUCAACGAGGAAUCCCUAGUAAGCGCAAGUCAUCAGCUUGCGUUGAUUACGUCCCUGCCCUUUGUACACACCGCCCGUCGCUACUACCGAUUGAAUGGCUCAGUGAGGCGUCCGGACUGGCCCAGAGAGGUGGGCAACUACCACUCAGGGCCGGAAAGCUCUCCAAACUCGGUCAUUUAGAGGAAGUAAAAGUCGUAACAAGGUCUCCGUUGGUGAACCAGCGGAGGGAUCAUUACCGAGUUUACAACUCCCAAACCCCUGUGAACAUACCUUAAUGUUGCCUCGGCGGAUCAGCCCGCGCCCCGUAAAACGGGACGGCCCGCCAGAGGACCCAAACUCUAAUGUUUCUUAUUGUAACUUCUGAGUAAAACAAACAAAUAAAUCAAAACUUUCAACAACGGAUCUCUUGGUUCUGGCAUCGAUGAAGAACGCAGCAAAAUGCGAUAAGUAAUGUGAAUUGCAGAAUUCAGUGAAUCAUCGAAUCUUUGAACGCACAUUGCGCCCGCUGGUAUUCCGGCGGGCAUGCCUGUUCGAGCGUCAUUUCAACCCUCAAGCCCCCGGGUUUGGUGUUGGGGAUCGGCUCUGCCCUUCUGGGCGGUGCCGCCCCCGAAAUACAUUGGCGGUCUCGCUGCAGCCUCCAUUGCGUAGUAGCUAACACCUCGCAACUGGAACGCGGCGCGGCCAUGCCGUAAAACCCCAACUUNUGAAUGUGACCUCGAUCAGUUAG
This 844-nucleotide ribosomal RNA is filed under the name Hypocreales sp. B25. RNAcentral's name for it is "bacterial SSU rRNA". The stretch from base 1 to 352 matches the Rfam family "Eukaryotic small subunit ribosomal RNA", at positions 1480 to 1831 of the family's 1831-position model. Lineage: Eukaryota; Fungi; Ascomycota; Sordariomycetes; Hypocreales. The record is from RNAcentral.